CCUACGGGCGGCAGCAGUAGGGAAUUUUCGUCAAUGGGCGCAAGCCUGAACGAGCAAUGCCGCGUGAACGAGGAAGGUCUUCGGAUCGUAAAGUUCUGUUGAAGGGGAAAAAGAGCGGAGAGAGGAAAUGGUCUCCGAUUGAUAUUACCCUUCGAGGAAGUCACGGCUAACUACGUGCCAGCAGCCGCGGUAAUACGGAGGAUGCGAGCGUUAUCCGGAUUUAUUGGGUUUAAAGGGUGCGCAGGCGGAGGCACAAGUCAGCGGUAAAAUCGCGGGGCUCAACCCCGCUCCGCCGUUGAAACUGUGUCCCUUGAGUGCGCGAAGGGUAGGCGGAAUGCGUGGUGUAGCGGUGAAAUGCAUAGAUAGCACGCAGAACUCCGAUCGCGAAGGCAGCCUACCGGCGCGCAACUGACGCUCAUGCACGAAAGCGUGGGUAUCGAACAGGAUUAGAUACCCGAGUAGUC
This 464-nucleotide ribosomal RNA is filed under the name uncultured bacterium. RNAcentral's name for it is "partial 16S ribosomal RNA". It matches the Rfam family "Bacterial small subunit ribosomal RNA", at positions 338 to 795 of the family's 1533-position model. The record is from RNAcentral.